RNAcentral lists this long non-coding RNA (799 nucleotides) under Lathyrus oleraceus (garden pea). RNAcentral's name for it is "Pisum sativum (pea) long non-coding RNA (PSAT_LNC019702)". The record is from RNAcentral. Lineage: Eukaryota; Viridiplantae; Streptophyta; Magnoliopsida; Fabales; Fabaceae.
CCAUGAUCACCCAAAAGACUCCAUUAAUUACAAGGAAAAGAAAAUAUAUUAUUAAUCUUUUGCGAUUUUAUCUUUCAUAUCAUGAAAAGGUUAUAGAAUUGAUGAAAAUUUAAUAGUACAUUUUUUAUGAUUAGAGAAUUUUUUAUGUGGCUUUCUUAUUAAAAAUGCUAAAGGGAUAAGCGUAACUCAUUGAUAUAUUUAAGGAACAUUCUAAAAUGAAUAUAAUAUUGGAAGGUUUGUCUCAAACAAGUGCUAUAAACUUUUAAAUUUACUUAAGGAGGAAUUGAGCUUUAUAAAUUAUAUAGUGGUGGAAAUAUGACUAUAAUUAUCAAGUUUUUAAGUUUUUUAAUUAUCUUUCUAUUCCUAUCUAUUGUUUUAAUAAAGUUUGAAGGUAAGCCAUUUUUAUCCUUUUCAAGUUUUCUUCUUUAUUUCUCAAAGAUUUUCUUACUGUUUUAUUACAUUGUUUUAUCACCUUUUCUCAUCACAGCAUUUAGGCAUCAAUGUUUGGAGCAUUCACAUUGUUACAGAGUUUUGUGCCGACGUCCCGCAAUACCUAAGUGCGAUUUUCGCAGAGGACUUUGUAAAUGUGUUUAGUCAUUCUUGAGCUCUCAUUAAUUCAAUAAUCUAGUUGUGGAUGUUGGUUAUGAUGUGAGGUGAAAAUGUUUAUAGCUAGCUUAAGUUGAAAUAUAAUUUCUAUCUUGCUUCUAAGUUCUAACGCUAUAAUUUUAUAUUUAUAUAAUAGAAGUUCUAACCCUAUAAUUUUAUAUUUAUAUCAUUAUACCAUUACCCUUAUAACUUA